RNAcentral lists this ribosomal RNA (118 nucleotides) under Paraclostridium bifermentans. The record is from RNAcentral. Lineage: Bacteria; Bacillati; Bacillota; Clostridia; Peptostreptococcales; Peptostreptococcaceae.
UGCGGUUAUUACAGCAAAGAGGAUACAGUCUGUUCCCAUUCCGAACACAGAAGUUAAGCUUUUAGCGCCGAUGGUACUUGGUGGGAAGCUGCCUGGGAGAGUAGGGAGGUAGCCGCGU